Molecule: ribosomal RNA, 248 nt
Filed under: uncultured bacterium
Lineage: Bacteria
Description: partial 16S ribosomal RNA
Rfam family: Bacterial small subunit ribosomal RNA
Source: RNAcentral
GGUUGGCCACAGGCGACGACGGGUAGCCGGCCUGAGAGGGUGACCGGCCACACUGGGACUGAGACACGGCCCAGACUCCUACGGGAGGCAGCAGUGGGGAAUAUUGCACAAUGGGCGCAAGCCUGAUGCAGCGACGCCGCGUGAGGGAUGACGGCCUUCGGGUUGUAAACCUCUUUCAGUAGGGAAGAAGCGAAAGUGACGGUACCUGCAGAAGAAGCACCGGCUAACUACGUGCAGGCAGCCGCGGG